Molecule: non-coding RNA, 84 nt
Organism: Trametes pubescens
Lineage: Eukaryota; Fungi; Basidiomycota; Agaricomycetes; Polyporales; Polyporaceae
Source: the annotation of a GenBank genome assembly
UCUCUGGUCGUAUAUCGGUUAGUACACGCGCUUGUCAUCCAUUACGGAACGCGCGAAAGCGGGGUUCGACUCCCCGCCAGAGAG